UCCUAUUAAAGCGAGACGGGUUCGCUAUGAACCCCGGCCUGAAAACCACUUCGGUGGCGGGAUGGACGGGUGGAAUGCGGAAAACCGGGCGUGGAGAAGGCACAGUUCACCUGAGUGCCCGGUGGCGUUCGCGCGCCGCCGCAAAUGCGAAAUGGCUCUCAGGAAGCGAGGGGCGAAAGCCGGGCGAGAGCCCAGCCAAGAACCGCUCCGAGCUGACUCAUGAACGUGAUAGAGACACUUCAGGCAACCCUUCGGGGAAGCUUGGCAGACCGUCUCAUUCGCCGGACUGGUCCGGUUGCGGUUCCUUCGGGAAUCGGGACUGAGUCAGAAGCUCAAGCCUGUUUCGAGCUUGAGUGGAAAAGUAGUUGCCCAGAGGGUAUUGGUUGCCUACUACAAAAGUUGGCACGGCAGGAAUCCAAAAUUGGCCGGCAACGGUCAGCCAGACGAAAUCCUCCGAAAGGAGGGACAAAGCUGGGGUUCCCGUCGGGAUAGCCACGAGCCCAAGACAACGGCCGUGAAAACUAUCCGGCAAGGUGGCGAUGCAAAAACUGCAGCGCUGUCAUGUGAACGAAAUGGCAACCUGAGGGGUAAGAGGCGAGACCCGUGGCACGGGCCAACGCGCCGCCAAAAGCGGUGGCCGACCUUGUGUCCGAUGGCUUGGAUGUGAUGGUUCACUUCCGCGUCCAAGCCUGGUCCGCAGGUCAGUGGCCGCAAUCACUGGCUGAAGCGGGCAGAUAAACCUCACCCAAUAAUUCAAGCGCCGUAAGGCCUUGGACGGCCCUGCUAUGAGGCCGACAACUCCGCGAGUCACGGGGAAUGGCGUCGGGGAGCAAUCAACCUGCUUGCAGGUGCCUAAUGGUUGUAUCUGGUAAAGAGCGUGUGGCGAGCGCC
RNAcentral lists this non-coding RNA (891 nucleotides) under unclassified sequences. RNAcentral's name for it is "MISL RNA". It matches the Rfam family "MISL RNA". The record is from Rfam by way of RNAcentral.